Streptococcus macacae NCTC 11558 is the source of this 116-nucleotide non-coding RNA. The record is from Rfam. NCBI's taxonomy places the organism in Bacteria, Bacillati, Bacillota, Bacilli, Lactobacillales, Streptococcaceae.
UAUUCCUUUAACACUGUCCCGUGAGGCAGGCAAGGAGCUAGAAGAAAAAAUGUGCAGAAAACAACUGUACCUCUAUUUUGUGAAAUCUCCUUGUUCAGAAAGGAGAUUUUUUUCUU